CCAGUAGACUCACACAAGACAAAUGAGAACUCUUCAAAUUUCAUCAUCCAAAAUCAAAUGUGAAGCCUUUAACUGAGGCUGAGCAUCAUUUUCAUAUGUCUUGUUCUCUAGGGAAAAUCUUUGUAUUUCCAUCACUAGUGUGAACUUUCCCUUUAUAGUCUCAGAUUCACAACUACAAGGAAGAAACUAUUUCUGAUCAGAAAUUCUGGGAUAAUUCCAACAGAUAAAACAUUUUAGAAAGGUACUAAAAAUGCAGCAUUUAACCUGCAGCGUGACCAGAAAGUCUUUCCAGACCUGAAAAAUAAUUGGCUGUAAAGGAUUUUUCUCAUCAGUUCAUGGCUGCACUUUUGAUUCAUUGUGUUGCACAGUCUGAUAUCACAGCAGAUCAGGUCCUGGACUGAUGCAGAAAUAGCUUCCAAAGAUCCCAGAGGAACAGUAAAAUAUUAACUCAAAGCAUGUGAGUAACUGAGUUAUGUAACCAGAGCCUGUGACAGAAUGGCUGUCAUAGCUGCCUUAACAUAGUUCAAACUUCUAUUACUGUUUUAUUAACUUGUGCUUAUCUAACAGAAGAAAGUGCUGCCUCCUUAUACAUCUUGCUGUACAACAAGUUAGUAGCAGCACCUCCUGAUUUCAGAAUUUACAAACUAAGGAGCUAAACAGAAAUAGGGUAAAAGAACUUACAAAAGAGCAUUCCCACUUUAUACAGGGGGUAACCAAGGCUGAAUUCAAAAUGGACCAGAAAGCAGCUCUGUAUUGAGCCAGGUGAUUUAACAUGCUUAUUUUUUUCCCCAACACAUUUCAAUAAAAUGUUUCACUACAGUCAAAUAUUUUCAUAUAUUGAUAUCAAUUCUCUUUAGAAAAGUACCACUAACAAAAUUGUAGAAGGAAAACUACAAUUUAGAUAAUUGCAUUUCUAAAAAUAAUUUUCAUAUGUGCUUUACAAAGCAUACAGCGCUUAAUGGCUCAUAUAUUUUACUUUUUCUGCCCCCAGAAAUGGCAAUCCAGUGGUUCCUAUAGAGCAGGAAAAUAGGCCACCAGCUGAAACAGAGAAAGCCAAUAUUUCUUUGUCAAAUGAAAACCUGAACUCCCAGGAACAGCAUCUGCUGCAUGAACAUGGUAAGGAACUUUGCAUUUUUCAAUUAGGAUUAGUAAAAUUGUGUUCUUUGAAAGAAAAGUAAGUUUAUAGGUGAUAAUAGCAUCACCUGGGAAAGAUUACUCUUUAUAAAAAAUCCAGCCUCCCUCAGAGUUUCAGAGAACAUUUAUACAUUACU
RNAcentral lists this long non-coding RNA (1271 nucleotides) under Junco hyemalis (dark-eyed junco). RNAcentral describes it as "lncRNA (ENSJHYG00000018065.1)". Lineage: Eukaryota; Metazoa; Chordata; Aves; Passeriformes; Passerellidae. The record is from RNAcentral.